AAGUAUUACUGUAAUAGGUUUCCUGGAACAAAAAUUGUUAUAAAACUAGAUUUUAACCUGCGGUAUACCGCAGGGACAAUUUAUUUUUUAAAUUAGUAUAUAUAAAAGUUUGCAAAUUAAAUUUA
RNAcentral lists this small RNA (125 nucleotides) under Arabidopsis thaliana (thale cress). RNAcentral describes it as "ATSL229050". The record is from RNAcentral. Lineage: Eukaryota; Viridiplantae; Streptophyta; Magnoliopsida; Brassicales; Brassicaceae.